AGAGUUUGAUCCUGGCUCAGAACGAACGCUGGUGGCGUGUUUUAUACAUGCAAGUCGAGCGAGGACAGUAGCUUGCUACUGAGCCGAGCGGCGAACGGGUGAGUAACGCGUAAGCAAUCUGCCCCAUAGUCGGGAAUAACUGUUCUAAAGGACAGCUAAUGCCGGAUAUUGAAUUUAGUUGCAUAACUAGAUAUCAAAAGAUUUAUUGCUAUGGGAUGAGCUUGCGUCUGAUUAGCUAGUUGGUAGGGUAACUGCCUACCAAGGCAACGAUCAGUAGCCGGCCUGAGAGGGUGAUCGGCCACAUUGGGACUGAGAUACGGCCCAGACUCCUACGGGAGGCAGCAGUAGGGAAUAUUGCACAAUGGGGGAAACCCUGAUGCAGCAACGCCACGUGUGGGAAGACGCAUUUCGGUGUGUAAACCACUGUCGAUAGGGAAUAAUUAUGGAUUUCGGUCCAGUUGAAUGUACCUAUAAAGGAAGCACCGGCAAACUUCGUGCCAGCAGCCGCGGUAAUACGAGGGGUGCAAGCGUUGUUCGGAAUUACUGGGCGUAAAGGGAGCGUAGGCGGAUAAUCAAGUUGGCAGUUUAAUCCCGAGGCCCAACCUCGGACUUGCUGUCAAAACUGAUUAUCUUGAAUCAUUCAGAGGCAGAUGGAAUUUCAGGUGUAGCGGUGGAAUGCGUAGAUAUCUGAAAGAACACCAAUGGCGAAGGCAGUCUGCUGGGGAUGUAUUGACGCUGAGGCUCGAAAGCGUGGGUAGCAAACAGGAUUAGAUACCCUGGUAGUCCACGCAGUAAACGAUGUGUACUAGGUGUCAGUAGCAAUACUGGUACCGCAGCUAACGCUUUAAGUACACCGCCUGGGUAGUACGCUCGCCAGAGUGAAACUCAAAAGGAAUUGAACGGGGGCCCGCCACAAGCGGUGGGGGCAUGUUGUUUUAUUUUCGAAGCAACGCGCCAGAACCUUUACCAGGGGUUUUGACAUUGGAA
This 987-nucleotide ribosomal RNA is filed under the name uncultured bacterium. RNAcentral describes it as "bacterial SSU rRNA". It matches the Rfam family "Bacterial small subunit ribosomal RNA", at positions 8 to 994 of the family's 1533-position model. The record is from RNAcentral.